This 425-nucleotide ribosomal RNA is filed under the name uncultured bacterium. RNAcentral describes it as "partial 16S ribosomal RNA". It matches the Rfam family "Bacterial small subunit ribosomal RNA", at positions 354 to 796 of the family's 1533-position model. The record is from RNAcentral.
GUGGGGAAUCUUGCGCAAUGGGCGAAAGCCUGACGCAGCCAUGCCGCGAGAAUGAUGAAGUCCUUAGGAUUGUAAAAUUCUUUCACCGGGGACGAUAAUGACGGUACCCGGAGAAGAAGCCCCGGCUAACUUCGUGCCAGCAGCCGCGGUAAUACGAAGGGGGCUAGCGUUGCUCGGAAUUACUGGGCGUAAAGGGCGCGUAGGCGGACAGUUAAGUUGGGGGUGAAAGCCCAGGGCUCAACCUCGGAACUGCCUUCAAUACUGGCUGUCUUGAGUAUGAGAGAAGUGUGUGGAACGCCGAGUGUAGAGGUGAAAUUCGUAGAUAUUCGGAAGAACACCAGUGGCGAAGGCGACACACUGGCUCAUUACUGACGCUGAGGCGCGAAAGCGUGGGGAGCAAACAGGAUUAGAUACCCUUGUAGUCC